This 20-nucleotide ribosomal RNA is filed under the name Pratylenchus coffeae. Its description in RNAcentral is "partial 18S ribosomal RNA". The record is from RNAcentral. Lineage: Eukaryota; Metazoa; Nematoda; Chromadorea; Rhabditida; Pratylenchidae.
ACUGCAGCUGGAUCAUUACA